CAACAGGGAUUGCCUCAGUAACGGCGAGUGAAGCGGCAGAAGCUCAAAUUUGAAAUCUGACGUCCCCGACGUCCGAGUUGUAAUUUGGAGAGGCAUCUUCUGGAGGGGCCCAGCCUAUGUUCCUUGGAACAGGACGUCAUAGAGGGUGAGAAUCCCGUUCUUGGCUGGAUGUCCCCACCUGUAUGUAGUGUCUUCCACGAGUCGAGUUGUUUGGGAAUGCAGCUCAAAAUGGGUGGUAAAUUUCAUCUAAAGCUAAAUAUUGGCGAGAGACCGAUAGCGCACAAGUAGAGUGAUCGAAAGAUGAAAAGCACUUUGAAAAUAGAGUCAAACAGUACGUGAAAUUGUUGAAAGGGAAGCGCUUGAGACCAGACUCAGCCUCGGGCAAGCAACCCUCCUUCUGGUGGGUGUCCUCCUUCGGGUGGGUGCACUUGCCCUUGGCUGGGCCAGCAUCAGUUGGGAGGGCGGGAUAAAGGCCCAGGGAAUGUGGCUCCUCUCGGGGAGUGUUAUAGCCCUGGGUGCCAUGCCGCCGCUCCCGACUGAGGACCGCGCUUCGGCAAGGAUGCUGGCGUAAU
RNAcentral lists this ribosomal RNA (572 nucleotides) under Choiromyces venosus. Its description in RNAcentral is "eukaryotic LSU rRNA". It matches the Rfam family "Eukaryotic large subunit ribosomal RNA", at positions 66 to 635 of the family's 3401-position model. The record is from RNAcentral. Lineage: Eukaryota; Fungi; Ascomycota; Pezizomycetes; Pezizales; Tuberaceae.